CAUGAAGAGGGGGUGGGGCUAUAUAAUCUCCAUGGAAACGAUACUUGCAAAUGCCAAUAAAUUUGCAUACCAAAUAUCAUUGACUUAACAUUAGCAGUUCAUCUUAAACUGAUCUAAUCACAAUCUAAUACAUGUAAACUAAGAUAAGUUUCAAAGUCGAUAGACCAUGACUGAGGGGGCGAGGCCAAAUAUUCUCCAUGGAAAUGAGAUGUGCCAAUGAUUAUACCACCGAAUACCAAUUAACAUUGGCCUACCACUAAUGGUUCCCCUUGAACUGACCUAAUCACAAACUAAUACAUGAUAACUUAGCAAAAUUUUCAA
RNAcentral lists this long non-coding RNA (321 nucleotides) under Mytilus galloprovincialis (Mediterranean mussel). Lineage: Eukaryota; Metazoa; Mollusca; Bivalvia; Mytilida; Mytilidae. The record is from RNAcentral.